This 72-nucleotide transfer RNA is filed under the name Anaerolineae bacterium. Its description in RNAcentral is "tRNA-Gly". It matches the Rfam family "tRNA". Rfam says of the family: Transfer RNA (tRNA) molecules are approximately 80 nucleotides in length. Their secondary structure includes four short double-helical elements and three loops (D, anti-codon, and T loops). Lineage: Bacteria; Bacillati; Chloroflexota; Anaerolineae. The record is from RNAcentral.
GCGGGUGUGGCGCAGUGGUAGCGCAUCUGCUUCCCAAGCAGGUAGUCGUGGGUUCGAAUCCCAUCACCCGCU